Molecule: long non-coding RNA, 391 nt
Filed under: Physcomitrium patens
Lineage: Eukaryota; Viridiplantae; Streptophyta; Bryopsida; Funariales; Funariaceae
Description: long non-coding RNA (PPAT_LNC008086)
Source: RNAcentral
AAGUCAAAUUUAGAUAUAAAUUACAUUCUAUCUAUCUACUUGUAAUAUAUUUUCAAUGAAUGAUUGACUUGGUGGAUAUGCCAUUGGAAUUAUGGAGCACAAUAUAUCUUAUUUUAAUAAAAAAAAAACUCUCAAAUUAUAUUGAAGACAAAGCUUUGAAGACCAAGAUUACAGAUUGGAGUGUAUAGAUUCAUCUUUAAAGAUACUUUUAGUAGAUAUAGUAGAAUUGAAAGAAUAAUAGUUGAUGAAGAAGAAUUGAAUGCAAUAGAAGUUAGAGAUUUUUUUCAAAGAUAUGGUGUAAAAUUGAAGCUAACAACUACUUAUAAUCUUGAAGCUAAUAGUAAAAGUGAGAGAUGACAUCUUUCUAUAACAAAUGUUCUUAUUAAGAUUU